This 77-nucleotide unclassified non-coding RNA is filed under the name Legionella longbeachae NSW150. RNAcentral's name for it is "SAM_alpha". The record is from RNAcentral. Lineage: Bacteria; Pseudomonadati; Pseudomonadota; Gammaproteobacteria; Legionellales; Legionellaceae.
UAUUGCAUUAGCGUCGAUUUGAAAUUCAGCUUGCGGACGCUCAAAAAUUUUUUUUUGAAAAUACGGCUAAAGCGGAU